GCAACUUUGCGGCCUGCUUACACAUGCAGUCGACGAUGAAGCCUUUCGGGGUGGAUUAGUGGCGAACGGGUGAGUAACACGUGGGCAAUCUGCCCUUCACUCUGGGACAAGCCCUGGAAACGGGGUCUAAUACCGGAUAUCACUUCUGCUCGCAUGGGUGGGGGUUGAAAGCUCCGGCGGUGAAGGAUGAGCCCGCGGCCGGUGAGGUAGUGGCUCACCAAGGCGACGACGGGUAGCCGGCCUGAGAGGGCGACCGGCCACACUGGGACUGAGACACGGCCCAGACUCCUACGGGAGGCAGCAGUGGGAUGGGCGGAAGCCUGAUGCAGCGACGCCGCGUGAGGGAUGACGGCCUUCGGGUUGUAAACCUCUUUCAGCAGGGAAGAAGCGCAAGUGCUGCAGAAGAAGCGCCGGCUAACUACGUGCCAGCAGCCGCGGUAAUACGUAGGCGCAAGCGUUGUCCGGAAUAUUGGGCGUAAAGAGCUCGUAGGCGGCUUGUCACGUCGGGUGUGAAAGCCGGGGCUUAACCCCGGGUGCAUUCGAUACGGGCUGGCUGGAGUGUGGUAGGGGAGACGGAAUUCCUGGUGUAGCGUGAAAUGCGCAGAUAUCAGGAGGAACACCGGUGGCGAAGCGGAUCUCUGGGCUGAGGAGCGAAAGCGUGGGGAGCGAACAGGAUUAAUACCCUGGUAGUCCACGCCGUAAACGGUGGGAACUAGGGUUGGCGACAUUCCACGUCUCGGUGCCGCAGCUAACGCAUUAAGUUCCCCCGCCUGGGAGUACGGCCGCAAGGCUAGGAAUUGACGGGGGCCCGCACAAGCAGCGGAGAUGUGGCUUAUUCGACGCAACGCGAAGAACCUUACCAAGGCUUGACAUACACCGGAAACGGCCAGAGAUGGUCGCCCCCUUUGUACAGGUUGCAUGGCUUCGUCAGCUCGUGUCGUGAGAUGUUGGGUUAAGUCCCGCAACGAGCGCACCCUUGUUCUGUGUUGCCAGCAUGCCUUUCGGGGUGAUGGGGACUCACAGGAGACCGCGGGGUCAACUCGGAGGAAGGUGGGGACGACGUCAAGUCAUCAUGCCCCUUAUGUCUUGGCUGCACACGUGCUACAAUGGCCGGUACAAUGAGCUGCGAUACGUGGAGCGAAUUCAAAAAGCCGGUCUCAGUUCGGAUUGGGGUCUGCAACUCGACCCCAUGAAGUCGGAGUGCUAGUAAUCGCAGAUCAGCAGUGCUGCGGUGAAUACGUUCCCGGGCCUUGUACACACCGCCCGUCACGUCACGAAAGUUGGUAACACCCGAAGCCGCCAACCCCCUUGUGGGGAGGGAGCUGUCGAAGGUGGGACUAGCGAUUGGGACGAAUAAAAAAUGCCAGGAGGCC
Molecule: ribosomal RNA, 1373 nt
Filed under: Streptomyces coelicolor
Lineage: Bacteria; Bacillati; Actinomycetota; Actinomycetes; Kitasatosporales; Streptomycetaceae
Description: partial 16S ribosomal RNA
Rfam family: Bacterial small subunit ribosomal RNA
Source: RNAcentral